GCCCAGAUGGCGGAACUGGUAGACGCGUCAGACUCAAAAUCUGGUUCUCGCAAGGGAGUGCAGGUUCGAUUCCUGUUCUGGGCACCA
Molecule: transfer RNA, 87 nt
Filed under: Niastella populi
Lineage: Bacteria; Pseudomonadati; Bacteroidota; Chitinophagia; Chitinophagales; Chitinophagaceae
Also listed under: 1 other name
Description: tRNA-Leu
Rfam family: tRNA
About the family: Transfer RNA (tRNA) molecules are approximately 80 nucleotides in length. Their secondary structure includes four short double-helical elements and three loops (D, anti-codon, and T loops).
Source: RNAcentral